GGAAACCGGUGGGAAACCGGUGCGGUCGCGCCACUGUGACCUGCGGCGACGCGGGAAGUCAGAC
This 64-nucleotide non-coding RNA is filed under the name Williamsia sp. The record is from RNAcentral. Lineage: Bacteria; Bacillati; Actinomycetota; Actinomycetes; Mycobacteriales; Nocardiaceae.